This 432-nucleotide ribosomal RNA is filed under the name uncultured bacterium. Its description in RNAcentral is "partial 16S ribosomal RNA". It matches the Rfam family "Bacterial small subunit ribosomal RNA", at positions 29 to 507 of the family's 1533-position model. The record is from RNAcentral.
ACGAACGCUGGCGGCAUGCCUAACACAUGCCAGUCGAACGAGACCUUCGGGUCUAUUGGCGCACGGGUGCGUAACGCGUGGGAACCUGCCCUUAGGUUCGGAAUAACUCCCCGAAAGGGGGGCUAAUACCGGAUAAUGUCUUCGGACCAAAGAUUUAUCGCCUUUGGAUGGGCCCGCGUUGGAUUAGCUAGUUGGUAGGGUAAAAGCCUACCAAGGCGACGAUCCAUAGCUGGUCUGAGAGGAUGAUCAGCCACACUGGGACUGAGACACGGCCCAGACUCCUACGGGAGGCAGCAGUGGGGAAUAUUGGACAAUGGGCGAAAGCCUGAUCCAGCAAUGCCGCGUGGGUGAUGAAGGCCUUAGGGUUGUAAAGCUCUUUUACCCGGGAUGAUAAUGACAGUACCGGGAGAAUAAGCUCCGGCUAACUCCGUG